UCAAAAUCUGUCAUUAGAGAUAAAACCUUGAAGUGAAGGCUGUUUUGAUGUUUGAAAUAUUUGUUGAUGUGAGUUUGUGAUUAACAAGUUUAAGAAUGGUAUGUUGCAGAAAUUCUGGCAGAUGCGAAUGUAAGCUUGAUGGCAUCAUUUUCAUAUAACUGCUUGAAAUGCAUAUAUACCACUAUCAGCAUUGAGCGUCUCGUGAACUGUCAAAUGUCAUAUAGGCCUCACACAGUUGAAAAUAGUGAAAAAAGUAAUCGGUAGACAGGUCUGCAUCUCGUAAGAUAUCGGAAGCCGUCUGACUUGGCCACAUCGCUCGGAAGUCCGAAGUACUAGAAAAAACCGCCAUCUGCUACC
Molecule: long non-coding RNA, 357 nt
Organism: Mercenaria mercenaria
Lineage: Eukaryota; Metazoa; Mollusca; Bivalvia; Venerida; Veneridae
Exons: 2
Source: RefSeq, a predicted model, not a curated record